GCAUACAGUAUUACCCAAAAUGACCUGGUUACAACACAAUAGCAAAGAGGAACGUUUGCAAAGAGCAAUGUCGCAUUGUCCUGCAGGUUCAGGAUGCCGCUGAUUCCCAUCAAAUU
RNAcentral lists this long non-coding RNA (116 nucleotides) under Mus spicilegus (steppe mouse). RNAcentral's name for it is "lncRNA (ENSMSIG00000017103.1)". The record is from RNAcentral. Lineage: Eukaryota; Metazoa; Chordata; Mammalia; Rodentia; Muridae.